UGGGGAAUAUUGCACAAUGGAGGGAACUCUGAUGCAGCGACGCCGCGUGAACGAAGAAGGCUUUCGAGUCGUAAAGUUCUUUUAUAUGGGAAGAUAAUGACGGUACCAUAAGAAAAAGCCCCGGCUAACUACGUGCCAGCAGCCGCGGUAAUACGUAGGGGGCUAGCGUCGUCCGGAAUCACUGGGCGUAAAGGGUUCGCAGGCGGAAAUGCAAGUCAGGUGUAAAAGGCAGUAGCUUAACUACUGUAAGCAUUUGAAACUGCAUAUCUUGAGAAGAGUAGAGGUAAGUGGAAUUUUUAGUGUAGCGGUGAAAUGCGUAGAUAUUAAAAAGAAUACCGGUGGCGAAGGCGACUUACUGGGCUCAUUCUGACGCUGAGGAACGAAAGCGUGGGUAGCAAACAGG
RNAcentral lists this ribosomal RNA (403 nucleotides) under bacterium. RNAcentral's name for it is "partial 16S ribosomal RNA". It matches the Rfam family "Bacterial small subunit ribosomal RNA", at positions 355 to 776 of the family's 1533-position model. The record is from RNAcentral. RNAcentral also lists the same sequence under 1 other name.